RNAcentral lists this ribosomal RNA (486 nucleotides) under uncultured Campylobacterota bacterium. Its description in RNAcentral is "bacterial SSU rRNA". It matches the Rfam family "Bacterial small subunit ribosomal RNA", at positions 679 to 1152 of the family's 1533-position model. Lineage: Bacteria; Pseudomonadati; Campylobacterota. The record is from RNAcentral.
GGGUAAAAUCCGUAGAUAUCACUAGGAAUAUCAAAAGCGAAGGCGAUCUGCUGGGAUGAUACUGACGCUCAGGCACGAAAGCGUGGGGAGCAAACAGGAUUAGAUACCCUGGUAGUCCACGCCCUAAACGAUGAAUGCUAGUCGUCGGGGUACUCGUGACUUCGGUGAUGCACUUAACAGAUUAGUCAUAUCCGCCUGGGGAAUUACGGUCGCCAAGAAUUAAAACUCAAAGGAAUUAAACGGGGAACCCGCCAAAACUGGUGGAAGCUUGUGGUUUAAUUCGAAGAUACACGAAGAACCUUACCUGGACCUUGACAUGGUAGGAACCCUGUAGAGAUAUGGGGGUGCUAGCUUGAUAGAACCUACACACAGGUGCUGCACGGCUGUCGUCAGCUCGUGUCGUGAGAUGUUGGGUUAAGUCCCGCAACGAGCGCAACCCUCGUCAUUAGUUGCUAACAGUUGGGAUGAGCACUAUAACGAGACUGC